This 257-nucleotide ribosomal RNA is filed under the name uncultured bacterium. RNAcentral's name for it is "partial 16S ribosomal RNA". It matches the Rfam family "Bacterial small subunit ribosomal RNA", at positions 793 to 1055 of the family's 1533-position model. The record is from RNAcentral.
GUCCACACAGUAAACGAUGAAUACUCGCUGUUUGCGAUAUACAGUAAGCGGCCAAGCGAAAGCAUUAAGUAUUCCACCUGGGGAGUACGCCGGCAACGGUGAAACUCAAAGGAAUUGACGGGGGCCCGCACAAGCGGAGGAACAUGUGGUUUAAUUCGAUGAUACGCGAGGAACCUUACCCGGGCUUAAAUUGCAAAUGAAUAUGUAGGAAACUAUAUAGCCGCAAGGCAUUUGUGAAGGUGCUGCAUGGUUGUCGU